This is a long non-coding RNA of Microplitis demolitor, 1887 nucleotides long. RefSeq lists it as uncharacterized. NCBI's taxonomy places the organism in Eukaryota, Metazoa, Arthropoda, Insecta, Hymenoptera, Braconidae. The record is from RefSeq and is a predicted model, not a curated record. The transcript has 3 exons.
CUACGCAUCAUUAAAUAUAAUUAAAAAUUUUUUAACAACUGUGUUAAUUUAAUUGUUAUUUUAAACAUCUAUUAUUAUGAAUAAUUUAUAUGUGAUGUUAAACGUCCGUGGUGUAUAAAUUACCGAUUCCAAAUCAGAAAUAAUAUUCAAGCAUUUGAGCGGAUCGUUUAUCAAUAUCAAAUAUGUAUGAGUCUAAAACAUGGAUGUUAUUUAUUGUUGGACUAAGUGCUUUCAUGAUGAUGAUAAUGAUUGCGGAUGGCUGUCAAAAAUUGGGAGCAACGUGUUACUGGCAUCUUGUUAAUCCACUGAAUUGUUGUGAAGGCACUAAAUGUCUUAUAAAGAAUACAGGAUCCCGAGGAAUAUGUGUUUUAUCAGAUUUUAAAUAAUUAAUAUAAUAUACAAAAGAAGGUUUAAGGCAUGAUGGGCUAUUUCUAAAAUUUAUUAAUAUUUAAUGGUCGUCUAAAAUAGUAAAUUGUAUGACAAGGGAUGAAACAAAACGAUUUUAUACCAGGGUGUAGUUGACUAUCCGAGCCGUAGGUGAAGAGUGACAUGACCCGCAGUCUCAAGCCCGGUUUCAUCUUGAAUCACGCUAUAUUUUUCAUGAUUGCAGUGUGAGCAAUCAGUCAGAAACAAGUCACCCUGUUUAGAAAAUCUUAUAGAGUCUAAUAGAUUCUCAUAAAUUCCCAUAGAGAUUUUAUAAGAAUGAAUGCGUUCUAUAGAAAGUGCUACAGUUAAGUGUAGACUUAUACAUGCAGCUAUAAGAAUCUAUCGGAUUUUUUAAGCAAGGCAAUUUUAUACCAAUAACGUGAUCAACUAUUAGCGUAAAUGUAAAUUGUGACUUGAAAUUUAUAAUUAAACAGAAACUAUAAAUACUAUUGUUUCUUCUCAAAAAGCGAAAUACAUUUGGUUCUACCCGCUUUGGACUGAAAUUGGUUUGUUUCGACUGACUGUAGAUAUACUAAUUCUUGAACUUUCGAUGCUAGUAUCAUAAAAAUGAAUAUUUUUAUUCUAUCUUGUCCAUUGGUUUAAAAACUUUGUUAUAAAAAAAGCAUUUUAUUGGAAAAAUAUUUCCUUUUUUUUUUUUGGCAAUUGCUAAGAUUGGCCAACGUGCCAAUUUCAAGAAUAUAUUAAUAAAUCCAGUAGUUAUUAAAAAUCACUUUUCGAUUUCUUACGUGAGUAGUGCUGUAAUAGUGAAGAGUACUAUUUGAUUCAAGAGGCUUAUUACUUUCAAAUAAAUUGUAGUCAAUAUAUCUAUCAUCUUCGUUUUUUGUGAUAAAUAUUAAAUUAGGCAGAAUAACAUUUUAUUGUUCAGUACAGCCAUAAAAUGGUAACGUAUAAAAAAUAAUGUAAGAAAAUAAUUAUAUUUUUUAUUUAUAUGCCGUUUAUAGAAUUACCUUUUAGGCAAAAAGUAUCUUGAGGUGACAUUUCAAUUCCGGUUCCGAAUCUUCUCAUUAGUCAUGUCUAACCUAUUCUACCUUAGGUUGUUUUUUAAUUUACACUCGAAUUCGAUUAACUCGGACAGUUAGUCUAUGGUGGAAGAUAACGUGGUUCGUAGUGGGAGUCAAGAUUGAGGGGAAGUUCCAAGUUAAUAGAAUUCGACUGUAAUUAAACCGGAAGUUUACUUAUGUAUACCAAAUAUCAAAACUGUCAGCUGUUUCCUUUUCCGCUUUUCAUCUUACGGCGAUCAUGAAUUUACUUUAUAAAAUAUUAUAUUAUGAUUGUAUGCAAUCAUUUUAAAUGCUACUAAAAUCCAAUUCUUAAUAGCCCAUCUUGCCCCAUUUUAACAUAUAUAAAGUAUUUAUCAACUAUAAGAAAAAUAUUUACUGAGAUGUUAAUAAAAAAAAAUGACAAUGAAAAAUUAAAGGGCCUCAAAAAUAAAUUUAUUAU